CUUGGUCAUUUAGAGGAAGUAAAAGUCGUAACAAGGUUUCCGUAGGUGAACCUGCGGAAGGAUCAUUAAUGAAUUCAUUGACAGGGUUGUCGCUGGCCUCUAUAGGCAUGUGCACGCCCUGCUUCAAUUCAUCCAUUCUACACCUCUGUGCACUCUUCAUAGGUUGGCUUAUUGGGGAUGACCCAUAGCCUCUCUAUGUAUUUUAUCACAAACUUGUAUAGUCCAGAAUGUCACUAUUGCGUGUAACGCAUAUAAAUAUAACUUUCAGCAACGGAUCUCUUGGCUCUCGCAUCGAUGAAGAACGCAGCGAAAUGCGAUAAGUAAUGUGAAUUGCAGAAUUCAGUGUAUCAUCGAAUCUUUGAACGCACCUUGCGCUCCUUGGUAUUCCGAGGAGCAUGCCUGUUUGAGUGUCAUGUUCUCCUCAGUCCCUUCAGAUUUUUCUGUUGCUGGUACUGGAUAUUGGAAGCUGCUGGAACAUAUCCUUUCAGCUCUUCUUAAAUGCAUUAGCGUGAAUAUUUGUCAAGCGCUCUCCAGUGUAAUAAUUAUCUACGCCGUCGAGCUAUUGAUGAGAUUAUCUGUUCAUGCUUCAAAUCGUUCUGUAGUAGAACAAAUCAUUUACACUUGACCUCAAAUCAGGUAGGACUACCCGCUGAACUUAAGCAUAUCAAUAAGCGGAGGAAAGGAAACUAACAAGGAUUCCCCUAGUAACUGCGAGUGAAGCGGGAAAAGCUCAAAUUUAAAAUCUGACAGUCUUUGGCUGUCCGAGUUGUAGUCUGGAGAAGCGUUUUCCGUGCUGGACCGUGUACAAGUCUCCUUGGAAUAGGGCGUCAUAGAGGGUGAGAAUCCCGUCUUUGACACGGACUGCCAGUGCUUUGUGAUGCGCUCUCAAAGAGUCGAGUUGUUUGGGAAU
This 910-nucleotide small RNA is filed under the name uncultured Agaricales. RNAcentral's name for it is "eukaryotic LSU rRNA". The stretch from base 623 to 910 matches the Rfam family "Eukaryotic large subunit ribosomal RNA", at positions 1 to 281 of the family's 3401-position model. Lineage: Eukaryota; Fungi; Basidiomycota; Agaricomycetes; Agaricales. The record is from RNAcentral.